RNAcentral lists this ribosomal RNA (253 nucleotides) under uncultured bacterium. Its description in RNAcentral is "partial 16S ribosomal RNA". It matches the Rfam family "Bacterial small subunit ribosomal RNA", at positions 524 to 776 of the family's 1533-position model. The record is from RNAcentral.
UACGUAGGGUGCGAGCGUUAAUCGGAAUUACUGGGCGUAAAGCGUGCGCAGGCGGUGAUGUAGGACAGGUGUGAAAUCCCCGGGCUUAACCUGGGAACUGCAUUUGUGACUGCAUCGCUGGAGUGCGGCAGAGGGGGAUGGAAUUCCGCGUGUAGCAGUGAAAUGCGUAGAUAUGCGGAGGAACACCGAUGGCGAAGGCAAUCCCCUGGGCCUGCACUGACGCUCAUGCACGAAAGCGUGGGGAGCAAACAGG